UAUUUGAAUUAUUAUACCCCCACAAACGAAGUUUAGGGGGGGUAUAUAGGAGUCAGCUUGUCGGUCGGUCGGUCGGUCGGUCGGUCCGUCGGUCGGUCCACAUCAUGGUUUCCGGACGAUAACUAGAGUUUGGAAUGAGGUAUUGUAAUCAAACUUGGUAUAUAGCAACCUUAUGUGAAAACUCCGGUUGGUAUUGCAUUUGGACCCCCUGGGGUCAAGGUCACCGUUACUAAAAAUAGAAAAAUGGUUUCCGGACAAUAACUUGAGUUAGGAAUGAGAUAUUGUAAUCAAAAUUGGUGUAUAGCAAGCUUAUAUGAAGACCUGGGUUGGUAUUGUUUUUGGACCCCCUGGGGUCAAGGUCAAGGUCACCGUUACUAAAAAUAGAAAAAUGGUUUCCGGACAAUAACUAGAGUUAGGAAUGAGAUAUUGUUAUCAAACUUGGUG
This is a long non-coding RNA of Ruditapes philippinarum (Manila clam), 444 nucleotides long. RefSeq lists it as uncharacterized. The record is from RefSeq and is a predicted model, not a curated record. Lineage: Eukaryota; Metazoa; Mollusca; Bivalvia; Venerida; Veneridae. The transcript is spliced from 2 exons.